This 806-nucleotide long non-coding RNA is filed under the name Elaeis guineensis (African oil palm). Its description in RNAcentral is "long non-coding RNA (EGUI_LNC015761)". Lineage: Eukaryota; Viridiplantae; Streptophyta; Magnoliopsida; Arecales; Arecaceae. The record is from RNAcentral.
AAAUCACAUCAAUCAUACUCAAGAAUGUCACUGAAACCAAUUAUGUACAGAGUUUGCCACCCACCAAAUGUACCAGCAUAACAGGUGAAGGGUCGAUAUAAAAUGUAGGAAAUGUGCUACAUAUUGGAGGCUAAGAAAGGUCUUGAGUCUCAGAGAUCGGAUAUAUGCUUUGAUGCAGCUGCUGAUGGUAAAGAUCAGGUAUUUUUGCGGUCCCAGCAUCUCCCGAAAUGAUAAAUUAAACCUCUGCACCAUAGCAUGCAUCACUAAAAAUUCUUCAAACUUUCUGAGCAUCUUUUUAAUGAGUAGAUAUAUCAUGAAUAAGUAUCGAAUCUUCCACCACAAUCAUCUUGAUGCAUGCUUGAGUCAAAUCUCAAAGAGUUUGGGCUAUAUACUCUAGAUUGCCAAGUUGCUGAGGAUUAUUGACAACAUUCAACAGCAGAUGGGCUUUGCUUUUGAAAGCUUCUAAUGAGCUUGACCCCCUUCACAAUACACACAGAGAGAGAGAGAGAGAGAGAGAGAGAGGGGCAGAAGCUACCCUGGUCCUGCACAAAAAAAUGAGACCCUGAAAUUAACCGUGGCAAUCAGGUCGGGCCAGACCAGACAGGAAUCCAGCCGCAUCCAAAAUAGAUAAAAAAUCAGCCAAGCCAAACUCACCUGUUUAUUAAGCGAACUGUCAAGUAUUGCCACUCCUACCUACAAUCCGACGGCACCAAAUCCAACUCAAAUUACCUAGAUGAGUAAAAUGACCGUUCCUCUUGCUAUUUACCCAACAGAAUCUAGCUGGCCAUACUCCAUGUUAUCAUUAG